GAAAUCAUUGCCUAGCCUAGCUUUCCCACGGUAUUCGUUGACAUUCCCUAGAAGAAGAAUCGUAUAGUAUUGUAACUAUAACAACAGUGAAAUCUGUUGUUCUUUCUUUCUUUCCAGCAGAACAGAUACCAACAACCACUCAACUCAAACCCAAACUCAUACUCCAAGUCCACUCAAAUCAUGAGUUUGUGUAUAAUUCUCUCACUAACAAUAGCAGUCCUCUCCGUAGCAUUGUAUCCUCUGCUCAACUCCACUCAAGCUCCAUCAUCGUCUUCCUCCUCCUCCUCAUCGGUAGUUGCAGAUUUGAUGGUGACAAAUGGGACCAUCUACACCAGUGAUGCUUCUCUCCCCUUUGCUGAUUCCAUGGCCCUUAGCUCUGGCCGCCUUCUCCGUCUUGGCAACUUUUCCUCUCUUCAGGAUUUGGCAGGAUAUGGAACUGAAGUGAUCGAUUUGGAGGGAAAAGUUGUGGUUCCUGGAUUUAUUGAUUCCCAUGUGCACUUGAUUUUUGGAGGACUGCAGAUAGUGCGUGUGGAACUCCGAGGUGUGAACAAAAAAGAUGAAUUUGUCAGAAAGGUCAAGGGUGCAGUUGCAAAUCUUAAACAUGGCUCCUGGGUAUUGGGCGGUGGAUGGAAUAAUGAUAAUUGGGGAGGAGAAUUACCAAUGGCCUCUUGGAUUGAUGAUAUUACACGUCACAAUCCCGUCUGGCUGUCAAGGAUGGAUGGUCACAUGGGCUUGGCUAACUCAUUGGCACUAAAAAUUGCAGAGAUUAGUAAUUACACAGAAGAUCCAAAUGGUGGAGCUAUCAUGAGAACCACUGAUGGAGAGCCAACCGGGUUGCUGAUUGAUUCUGCAAUGAAGCUCAUUUUGUCAUGCGUCCCGGAGGUCUCAGUAGAUGAAAGGAGGGAAGCUUUGGUAAGAGCCAGCAAUCUUGCCUUGAUGAGAGGUGUGACAACAGUUGUAGAUUUUGGGACAUAUUUUGCUGGUGCAUCGGUAGAGCUUCCGUGGGAAGAUUUUUCAGAAGUGUAUAGAUGGGCUGACGUUUCUGGACAAUUGAAAAUCAGGGUUUGCUUAUUCUUUCCAAUGAAUACAUGGUCACGCCUACAAGAUCUUAUCCGUGAAAGUGGUCGUAAGCUGAGCCAAUGGCUUUAUUUGGGUGGCGUUAAGGCUUUUGCUGAUGGAUCUUUGGGAUCUAAUAGUGCACUCUUUUAUGAGCCAUAUGUUGAUGACCCUCACAAUAGUGGCCUACAAGUUGCAGAUUUUGAAAGUCUAUUAAACAUGACAGUUGCAUCGGACAGAUCUGGGCUUCAGGUUGCCAUUCAUGCUAUAGGUGAUAGAGCAAAUGAUUUGAUUCUGGAUAUGUACAAGUCAGUAGUUUCUACAAAUGGGAUGAGGGACAGAAGAUUUAGGAUUGAGCAUGCUCAGCAUUUGGCAGAUGGGACAGUAGCCAGAUUUGGUCAAGAAGGAAUUGUUGCUUCAGUGCAGCCAGAUCACUUACUGGAUGAUGCUGAUUCUGCAAUAAGAAAGCUUGGGGUAGAAAGGGCUCACAAAGGAUCUUAUCUAUUUCAGUCACUACUAGCUAGCAAGGCACAGCUGGUGUUUGGUUCUGAUUGGCCAUUUGCAGAUAUUGAUCCUGUAAAGAGUGUAAAGACAGCAAUGAAAAGAAUACCUCCUGGAUGGGAGAAUGCAUGGAUUUCAUCUGAAUGCAUCAAUUUGAGUGAUGCAUUAAACGCAACAUGGGUAUUACACUUGCCGAAGCUGAGAAGAGGCAUGCUGAGGUUGAAGCAUCCGACCCUCCGUUAUUCAAGAAGCCGAGGUCUGAGGGCGCUGAAGGCUCGAGUUCUUCUCACUCCAAGGAGCCCUGGUCCCUUGUGCUUAUGGUUGGGGAUCGUCCCAUGUCGGCUGAUGAUAGUGUGAUAGAUAGCAUCCAAGUCGGCGUUGCUCUCUCCACGGCUAUUCUCCUACCAGCCGAUAUGGUUCGAAUGUCCCAGAUCACUGAAUACAAGAACUUUGCGCUCAUGAUGCCAUUUUGUUCUGGCCAUUCAACAUGUUCAUUCUUUUGUAGUUAAAGCCGAGGAGGUGAAGAAGGAAUUAACGCGCAAGACCAAUGAGUCUACCAAACUUCUUUCUUCACUGAAUCGGGCCGAGGCGCAUGCUCGACAAUUUAUGGACCAGGCAAAGGCUACUUAGGCUGCUUAAACUCUAGUCGAAGAAAAGGUUGAAGUCGUAGAAGUUGUCGCCGAAGUCGCAAAUGCUAAGGCCAAAGAGGUUGAAGCUAAGACGGCCCAAGCCGAGGC
Camellia sinensis is the source of this 2294-nucleotide non-coding RNA. The record is from RefSeq and is a predicted model, not a curated record. Lineage: Eukaryota; Viridiplantae; Streptophyta; Magnoliopsida; Ericales; Theaceae.